AGGCAAGACACAACGACGAUGAACGACAACAUCACCACCAUGAUGCGAUUCUGGAACAUUAGGUAAGACCGACAAUCACAUCCAGCUUGGGGGAGUUCCUCCCCGUUUUAUCAAGUAAGUUUUUAUUUGCUCUUCUUAUUUAUUCUUUUCUGUUUUAGUGUUUUAUUUAUUUCAUAUAAAAAAUCAAUAAAUAUUUUCUUGCUUUAAUUUACUGCAUUCUAUAAACAUGAAAACAAAAUAAAAAGAGUGUGUAGAUAAGUGUGCUUUAUUUAUCUGCUAAGUGUUAAUCUCUAGGAAAAUAAAAAGACUAAAAGAUGCAUGAUGGAAAUGAUGAACAGUUGCUCUGUUUGCUUUCAUAUUAGAGUUCUCCCAAGAAUUGCUAAAAUUUGAAAUAGUAUCUAUAGGAGUAUGAGCCUAAAACUAAAGUCUAGGUAAGAGAAAGGCAUGAUAUAAAGAUUGAGCUACUGUUUAUCUUGUUCUUACAACACUAAGUUCUGGAGAUUUAUUUUGAAAACUUGAAAAUCACAUGAUGAGUUCCUAGCAUGACAAAAUUCCAAACACAUCCAUACUUGCUAUAACAACUUUUGCUACUUAUAUUCACAAUCAGUUUGAUCGAGCUGUGUAGACCCUUAGGAGCUUUUUCAUGUGGUUAAAUUAAGAUAUUCACUUGCACACAUCUACUACACCAUCCACCACCAUUCAUUAAAAUUCCUAAAAAUAUUAUCACUCACUGUCCCAAGUGAGUGAGACGAGAGGUAAAAAUGGACAAGUGUCUAGUAGAAUUAGAGGUACAAAGAUGCCCACUUGAGCGGAAAAAAAUGGACAAGUGUCCGACAGUAGAAUUAGGGGUAUUUAUUACCCACCUGAAAAAAAAAAGAAGAGAAGAAAAGGAAAAAAGAUAGCCCAUGCUCUCCCAAAGCAAAGAUCAAAGAGGAGGAGAGAUAGCAAUAUGAGGAGCAAUGAGAAGUAAGUUUUAUGAUUACUUAUAUUUUCACCAUUACUAUCAUUUACUCCACCACACAUGCAUAUAUUGAUUUAAUUACAUGUUGAGUUCCUUCGGAUCCAUGGCUCGAUUAGACAACAUAUGUAUGAGCUGUUUUUCACACCUAUGAGCUUCGCAUAAACAUUCCCUUAGUUAUAGGUAAGUGAUAUUUUUGGUGAGGAUCCACAAAUACCAUAUAUAGAGAGACUUGAGAGAAUCAUAGCUGGGAACUCUGAGCUUUAUUUUUAAAAACUUAUGCAAAACUUCAAAACAAAGGUGAAGUAUAGAC
Molecule: long non-coding RNA, 1271 nt
Filed under: Sorghum bicolor (sorghum)
Lineage: Eukaryota; Viridiplantae; Streptophyta; Magnoliopsida; Poales; Poaceae
Description: long non-coding RNA (SBIC_LNC006655)
Source: RNAcentral